UUGAUGGAGGCUAAGCUAAAAAGUGGUACUCCUUUGAUUGUUGAUCGAUAUUCUUAUUCAGGGGUUGCCUAUUCAUCUGCCAAAGGUUUAGAUAUUGAAUGGUGUAAGUGAUGAGGCAAUCGAUAUCAAAUAUGACGUAACAAGAGUGUAAACCAUGAGGUGAGUUGAUUAAAGGACAGUUGAGACCUAGAAAGAAGAACAUUUCAGGCUGUGAUGAGUUGAGUGAAAAAUGUCUCUUGAUGCGGCAAAAUCCGAAGACAGCAGGUGCGAGUUUCUCCACUUGCAACUUCUAUUGCAACCAUGGUCGUCUAAUAGACAAAUUUGCACCAAAAAGGUCGGUCAGGUCAAUAUCUGGCGGCAUAGCUACAAGCCGUAUGUCCUUGCGAUUUUUGUUUCAGUAUUCAUCAGUUUGAGUUUAUCGUGCAGGUACAUUACCUAAUUUCACGGGAAACUUAGCUUCAAUGGAUCAUUAGACACGUUACGUACAAUCUAGCGGUAAUUGCUACCGGACCCCGCCGCAACGCGGCGGGACUGUUUUCUAGUUAUUUACUAAAUUCAACCCUUUGGAAGUUUAGAGCUUUGCUAUUUUUUAAAUCCUUCAUUCAUGCACAUCUUUGUAUCAACGCAACUAAGGACUACCCUUCAACACAAUUUACACACACAAUUCAUAAGCACUAUUGUAAGAUACUUAUUGCAAGCAAGCAAUUCCACCAUAGCAUUGCCAUUU
This 727-nucleotide long non-coding RNA is filed under the name Helianthus annuus (common sunflower). Its description in RNAcentral is "hypothetical non coding rna". The record is from RNAcentral. Lineage: Eukaryota; Viridiplantae; Streptophyta; Magnoliopsida; Asterales; Asteraceae.